UCAAAUCAUAGAUUUAUUUCCGCGUUGUAAUUGGCUAAUCAGGUCAAAGAGUAAGAUGUAUUUUAAAACGUAUUUAAUUAAUGUCCUUCGAAGUUUUGUGCAGUACUUUUACAUAGAGAAAAAGUGAUAUCGAAUUAAAACUAUAUAAAAGAUAGAUACACGUAUAUAUAGGUGGAUCAAGAUAAAAUCAUCAACUAGGAUCUUUCAUUAUUUCUUUAGAAAUGCAUAAAGAGUCGAGUAAAGUCAAAGAAAUCAUUGCAAGUUUCAAAUCUGAAAACGUGUAGAAACAAGCACGCGAGCGUCUUCAUAAGGAGAGUAAAAGAGGCCAGAGAAAAGAGAUAAAAAGAAAGGACUAGUUUGUUCUAUCUUUCUUGUGCUCACUCUUUUAUAUACCCCCCGCAGUCGAAGAUCUUCCAAAUACGUAAGUCAUUUCGUGCUUGCUUGCGUACAAAAAGAAGAAGAAGAAGAAGAAGGAAAGGGAGGAAAAGAGAAGAAGUGACGAGAGAAUACGGUAUAUCUCAAAUCUUCUUUCAUACGUGUUGUAUGUGUGUUAAUUCAAGAGUGUGCAUAAAUAUGACCAUAUGCGAGCAUUAAAUGUGCAUGUGUAUUAAUCAUAAGGGAUGAAAAUGAAAGAUAACAAACGAGAAUGUGUGAAAAAGAAAACAAAACUACUACUCCCAGUGAUCCAAGAGCCUCUAUUUUCUACACCGGUAUUCGUGGUAUAUCUUUAAGAAUGAAUUAUGUUUAAAUCUGACACAUUAUAUAUAUUUAUAUACUAUAUAAAAUAUAUAAAAUAUAUAGAUAUAUAUAUAUAAAUA
Polistes dominula (European paper wasp) is the source of this 818-nucleotide long non-coding RNA. The record is from RefSeq and is a predicted model, not a curated record. Lineage: Eukaryota; Metazoa; Arthropoda; Insecta; Hymenoptera; Vespidae.